CGCAAGCCUGACGGAGCAACGCCGCGUGUGGGAAGAAGGCUCUUGGGCUGUCAACCACUUUUCUCAGGGAAGAAGCCCUGACGGUACCUGAGGAAUCAGCCUCGGCUAACUCCGUGCCAGCAGCCGCGGUAAUACGGAGGAGGCAAGCGUUAUCCGGAAUUAUUGGGCGUAAAGCGUCCGCAGGGGGCACAUCAAGUCUGCUGUUAAAGGCUGGAGCUUAACUCCGGUAGAGCAGUGGAAACUGGUGUGCUAGAGGGCGACAGGGGUAGAGGGAAUUCCCAGUGUAGCGGUGAAAUGCGUAGAGAUUGGGAAGAACACCGGUGGCGAAAGCGCUCUACUGGGUCGCACCUGACCCUCAGGGACGAAAGCUAGGGGAGCG
This 379-nucleotide ribosomal RNA is filed under the name uncultured cyanobacterium. Its description in RNAcentral is "bacterial SSU rRNA". It matches the Rfam family "Bacterial small subunit ribosomal RNA", at positions 376 to 770 of the family's 1533-position model. Lineage: Bacteria; Bacillati; Cyanobacteriota. The record is from RNAcentral.